This 406-nucleotide ribosomal RNA is filed under the name uncultured bacterium. RNAcentral describes it as "partial 16S ribosomal RNA". It matches the Rfam family "Bacterial small subunit ribosomal RNA", at positions 30 to 526 of the family's 1533-position model. The record is from RNAcentral.
AUUGAACGCUGGCGGCAGGCCUAACACAUGCAAGUCGAGCGAGCGGCGGACGGGUGAGCAAUGUCUGGGCAACUGCGUGAUGGAGGGGGAUAACUACUGGAACCGGUAGCUACAACCGCAUACCUUCAGCUGUGCCCAGAUGGGUUUAGGUUGUGGGUGGGGUAAAGGCUAACCUAGGCGACGAUCCGUAGCUGGUCUGAGAGGAUGACCAGCCACACGGGAACUGAGACACGGUCCAGACUCCUACGGGAGGCAGCAGUGGGGAAUAUUGCACAAUGGGCGCAAGCCUGAUGCAGCCAUGCCGCGUGUGUGAAGAAGGUCUUCGGAUUGUAAAGCACUUUAAGCGGGGAGGCGUUACUCACAGAGGAAGCACCGGCUAACUCCGUGCCAGCAGCCGCGGUAAUUC